Molecule: non-coding RNA, 46 nt
Organism: Tribolium castaneum (red flour beetle)
Lineage: Eukaryota; Metazoa; Arthropoda; Insecta; Coleoptera; Tenebrionidae
Source: Rfam
AUAUCGGCCCUUCUCAGGGCCAUCAUUUUUUUAACAAAUAAAAAAA